This 775-nucleotide ribosomal RNA is filed under the name uncultured Neocallimastigales. Its description in RNAcentral is "partial large subunit ribosomal RNA". It matches the Rfam family "Eukaryotic large subunit ribosomal RNA", at positions 26 to 628 of the family's 3401-position model. The record is from RNAcentral. Lineage: Eukaryota; Fungi; Neocallimastigomycota; Neocallimastigomycetes; Neocallimastigales.
CGCAUCUGUGCAUGCAGCAUAUCAAUAAGCGGAGGAAAAGAAACUAACAAGGAUUCCCCUAGUAACGGCGAGUGAAGCGGGAAGAGCUCAAAUUUGAAAUCUUAAAGGGUUUCCCUUUACGAAUUGUAGUUUAAAGAAGUGUUUUCUGUUGAGGUUUUGGUAAAGGUUCUUUGGGAAUAGGACAUCAUAGAGGGUGAGAAUCCCGUAUUUGACCUUUACUUUCAACUUUGUGAUACACUUUCAAAGAGUCGGAUUGUUUGGGAAUGCAGUCCAAAAUGGGUGGUAAAUUUCAUCUAAAGCUAAAUAUUGGCGAGAGACCGAUAGCGAACAAGUACCGUGAGGGAAAGAUGAAAAGAACUUUGAAAAGAGAGUUAAACAGUACGUGAAAUUGUCAAAAGGGAAGCGUUUGACACCAGUGUUGUUUUUCUGAAAAUCAAUUAAAGAACUGUUUAUGCUAAGCUGUUUAGACUUUAUCAGCUAUCUGUUUAGUUUUGAGCUUUUCUUUAAUGCACUUUUCAGUUAACAAGUCAACAUCAAUCUCUUUUGCUGUAAAAAAGCUUGAGGAAGGUGGCUUGAGAUUCGUCUUAAGUGUUUAUAGCCUCUUGCCUAUGCAGUCGGAGAGAUUGAGGUCUGCAGCGUAGAUCCUUCGGGGCUAAAUGCAUUUGUGCUAAGUUAUAGCAUUUUAUAGACAACUUGUUGACUAUGAUUUGUCUUGUAGCUUACUCGCUUAUGUUAUUUUACCUACGCUUAGGAUGUUGAGUCGUAGAGCACGCAG